Molecule: long non-coding RNA, 5631 nt
Organism: Gallus gallus (chicken)
Lineage: Eukaryota; Metazoa; Chordata; Aves; Galliformes; Phasianidae
Exons: 2
Source: RefSeq, a predicted model, not a curated record
CUGCUCAUAGAACAGAAAAUAGGCCCAAUAGAUCUGUUUACCUUGUACAUUCCUCUGUAAUGGCACGGGUGACUUUUUCCAGCAGCUCUUCUUUCAUAUUAAAGGGAGAAAGUUCUCACAAGGUAAAGUGCUACCUCAGCACUGAAUCAAAGAACAAAUGAGCAGAUUUUCCUGAAUGGUCAGCAAUUUACACUGCUGACACAUUUGAAUAUGUGCCUUAGUUAGACCACCUCAUCUAUUUGCCACUCCAGCUGCAGAAUAUGCAUGUUCACUUCACUGAUUUGUAAGUAGUACCUAAUUUUGUCAAAUAACUUUUUUUUUCUUUUAUUUAUUCUAAAAACUACAUCUUCCUUCUUUAAAGAACUUUAAAAACUAAUAAUCUUCAUCAGGCAAAACGUCAGACCCAGAUGCCAGGUAAUUCUUGACAAAGCUGGAUGGGAAAGAAAUUGAAUUACCUUGCCUUUAAAGGGACUUUCACACAAAACAAGACCCCUCUGCAGUAAAGCCAGUUGUUUCUUGAGCCAGCUAAACAAAGGCUAGAUAGAUUUAUGUUGUCCCCAAAGGAGUAAUUCUCACUCUCUAAUUGUUACAAGUCUUCCAACCAUCCCUUUUUCUCCACAAAGCAGACGUUUUUCCAGAAUGUUAAAAAAUGAGAGCACACUCACCAACUGACAAAGCUAUAGAUGAAUUAUGACUUUCAACAACAGAAAAAGUUAUCAACAGGAUGACAAAUCCAGCCAUUCAAACAAAAGUGUAUCUCUCACUUCCCAUUAUAAAAUUCCAGCUUGCACGUUAGUAGAGACUGUCAGUAAACAGCAUCUCUGAUCUGUGGAGAGUUUUUAUUUCAGCUCCAAACAGUAACAGCAGCUGACAAUGUCAAGGAGAAAAAAGAAAGGAAGAAAGAUUAAACCUGUAAGAAAAUGGAUUACCGAGGAGUAAACGCUACAACAGAAAUGUAUGUGUUCUUCAAUUUUCCCUCUCCUUUAAAGAAAUCAUGAUGGGAAGCUGCUUUCUACCUCUGCCCAUAAGAAUCAGCCUUAUAGACAGAGGCAGGAGCUCUACCUAAACUGAUCUUCAUCCACAGUCUUCAGCUGAAGCUGGACAGCAGCUAAAGAGAAUCUUACCCAACCCCUGCUCUAGCAUAGACACUCAGAGCAGGUUGCCCAGGUGACUACUGAAGAUCUCAAGGGAGGAAAUUCCACAGCCUCUGCGCAACUUGUACCAGUGCUCUUGCCACCUGUACAGUACAGAAAUGCUUCCUGGUUCUCCAGUUUGUGCCCAUUGCCUCUUGUCCUCAAUUCCACAACGGAUCACCUUGACUGAUGACAGUUCCUUUAAGUACAUUGUAGCUGUUUUGGCUACUUCUCAAGAUAGUACCUAACUCACAAAUGAGGAUGCAGGAACAUGAUUCACUGUCUCCUUGCUUAAAAGCGGUAAUACACUGAGGCAGCAGAAAACAGCACUGCUCCAAAACCACAGUUCUCUUAGCCUACUUGCAAAAUAAGGAAGAAAAUCCAGUAGUAGCAAAUACGUCCUCCUAGCACAUAUUUGCAAAGUGCAAAAAAAAUAAAAAAUAAAUCAUUUUCAGUAGGAGCAUAAUGGAGGACAAGAAAUGUAUAAAUCAAACAACAGUGUCCCAACUACACACGUUUAGACAAUGAAAAGCAGUGAAUUUACAAAACUUGUUUCUAAUUGCUGUUGGAUUUAACCUUAGGAAAGAUCAAUGAAAGAACUAGCAAUAACUCUGUUUAGUUGCUUUUUCCCUUCUAAAAAAAAAAAGCUUGAUUUGGGAGAAACUUGCUGAUCUUGCUGGGAUGUGGUAAGAGUUCUCAAUUCAGAAUUUUAAGCAUGCACAGUCUAUUACUUUUGGCUGGUAUGCAGACAGCAUUAGAAGGGGUUACAGGCUGGAACAGCCAUUGCUCAUUAGAACUUAGAAACAUUACGAAGGCUUUCCACAACAUGAUCCCUUUUGUUCAGCUUGCUGAUUUCUGCUAAGAUUUAAGUAAGAACAACACAAACAGUUGCCAACAGGAGGACUCAGUGUAAAUGACUACAAAACAAACAGAAGUAAUGCCAAAAACGUAAUCAAUGUAAACAACAAAUUCACAUAUACAAAUGCUCUUCCUUCUGUUUCAAAAUCUGUGAUAAGGAGAUUCUUUACAACACUGCUCAUUGCUACAUUCUUGUUUGCAAAAGGUGUAAUUCAGCAAUGUGAUCCAAUGUAAGCACUAAAAAAUAUUGGAAGCAAGCAAGCAGUGACUCCUUACAUUUCCUACAUUAAAGAUGUUUCUUUUUCAAAAAAAAAAAAAAAGCAAAAAUAAAAACAAAACAAACAAACAAACAACUUGUAUAUAUUAGCAGGUUCCUGAACCAAAGGUUCUGCUUCUUAUAAGCUUAAAAUUCCUGGGACCUACAAUCAGAAAGCCUAAAGAUACCCCUCUUUUGGAGGAGUAAAAAGAUGAAGUAUCCAUACUGCUCAGAAACAAGCCCCUGCUUCUUGCAUGCACUGUUUAUUAGUUAAGACUAAAAAGUCUUUUUUGUGAAGUCUUCUGUGAGCAUCAGAGAAUUUGUCAUUGCCCUCAUUAUAUAUUACUAUGUUACUGACUAUUAUUAUUGUUACCAGACAUUAUGAGUUGCAGAAGAAUUUUGCCUGCAAUCAAGCAAGUCUUUUCUACCCUACACGACUCAGUUUGAUAAGGAAGCAAACACAAACUGAACCUCGCUGUGCGACCUUUCCAGAAUCAACAUGCUUGCUGAAUCACUCAUUGCUUCACUAAAAAGCAUGCAAUUAAUGCAGCAAAUUAUCAAGCCACAGGAAUAAAGACCUGUACAUACUGCAAGCUCUUUGGCUGGCUUUCAGUGCACCGUUCCCAUGAUCUGCUCACUGAAGUUAAGCUAGCUGCAGUCACACAACUCACAAUGUUUGCUAAGCAGCUUGUCUUGAACAGCUCAUCUACAUAGAAGAUGCCAGAGCAAGUCUUGAAACUUUUGGACUGAGUAAAUUGGUACUGGAAACAUGCUCAAGAUACGUUCCAGUUACACUUGAAUAUACUUCUCUCCUUCACCAGGCUUCAAGGAACAUGGUGUGAAGUUUAUAAGAGAGCUGAACUUGUCAAGGAGUUAGAUGCAGAGCAGCAGGAGUUGAUGACUUAAAACAGAUUAUGCCUCAAAUCUGGCAGACAGCACAAAGACAUGCAGCAAUAGUGACCAAGACAUGGAGUGAGCAUAGCAUUUCUCAGCAUACAGAAGAGAUAACUAAGGGAUAUCAGACUACAAACAUUGGUUUGAUGAAAAUAAGCAGAGAGCAAUUACUCACUGCUUCUCUCAGGACACCUGUCAGCACUGUGCAGUUGCAUACUUAACUCAUCAUUUUUUCUACACAGCCCCUGUGUCAGCUCUGGAACCUUUUGCUGCAGGGUACCAUAGCCAGCUGUGGAUCAGAAAUGAUUACAGAUAAUGAAAUCACUGCCUGUUACCGGCUGCCAAAAAACUGGAAAUACAGACCAUGAAAGGAUCCUUCACUGUUUUUGAUCUUGAAGCAUCCCACAUUAGCCACCCAUUGAAAUGAAGGACUAAUAAAGAAGGACAUCGCCUAAAGAUAGAUGCCUUUUUUUUUUUUCCUAAACAAAUGGAGAUAAAAAGUAUACUCUCUCUUUUUUUUUUUUUUUUUUUUUUUUACAGCCAAAGUCAGCAUAUAACAAAAGAAAAGUGAUCAUUUCCCAGAUUCUGCUCUAAACACGAUUGAGUCAAAGCCAAUCCCAAGGUCAAGCUACUUAUUCUCCUAAGACAUCUUGGCAACUUCAGCACUCUUGGGCAAGGGCAUGACACUUCUGUAGCCAGGCUGACCUGCUUCUCCUUAUAAUAACCACUGGAGUCCACAGUGCAUUUGUCACCUGAACAUCUGUGAAGGCCAGAUUGUUAUCACAGAAGCAGGAACAAGAACUUAACAGAUGUUGUAGGCUAGCUGGACUCAGCAGUACGCUAAAUCCAGUGCUAUUACAAAUGGAUAUGUUAGCAGAGGAGAUGGAGUUACUUAGAUGUCCUACAGAGAAACAAUAGCCUUCAGCCCUUUUACCAGACUAAGAAAAAGUAAGAAUUUAUUUACUGUGCUUGUGAAAGAAAAGUUUGCAGAAAGUCCUUUGCCAAACUUACUCAAAUGCUGCAAGGGUAUUUCUCUUUUCAUUAUCUUUCAUGGUUACCAAACAGAUCAUAAAAUAACUUUAAAAAGGCAUGGGGGGUACUCAAUCUCAGGUUAGAAGAGAUGCAUUUAGUGGCCUAGAGGCACCCUUAAGUCUUCCGGUACUUCAAUCUUCAGCUAUAUCUUCACAAAUACACAGUAACUGAAGAGGCUGCUUCUGCCAAUGAGGAAGGUACAGAAAAGAAAAACAGCAGAUCCCAUUCAACUUGUUACACAUCUUCAGGGAGAAGAGCAAGGUAUUUACCUGGACACAAUAGGAAAAUCAAAUGUGAACAAUCACGUCCAACUAAAGUCAACAACGCCCUUUAAACAAGUCAAAAUUAUUUCAUUGGCUUUACAUUCAGUAGAAGAAUAAGUAUUAUAGCUGUGAGAAAGCAGAAGUUUUUCAAAUCUUUUAAAUGGCUCUAAAGCAAAAUCACAUUACAAAGGAGAAGCGAACUUCAGGAAGUGGUUGAAUUACUUUGGCUUGCACAGUGCUAUUUUCAACCCCUCCAUGAGUUAUGACAGUGUGGAAAUCUCUAUGUUUCCCUCAGCACCCUGCCCAGUGACAGGAUACUGCACAGAGGGAACUCACUACUCCCAUUUUGCUUCGUCUUUCAAAGCUCAAUGCUGCACACCGCGCUGGCCCUGUUUGAACACUGAACUUGUUUGACUCUCACCACGAUACUCCAGUCGUUCUACCUCAGAUCCCAGUGAUAUUAACCAGUCCACCACAAGCCUCUGACACCAUCUUACAAAAACCUGACCUGGCACAUUUGGGCCUGCUUUUCUGUCUGAUCCUCCAGUGCUCAGUGCAAGCUGGUGGCAGGCUUGUUUCCUAACUUCUUUUCAUCAAUCUCAGCUGCAGUGAGACACACCCAGACAUCUGCAAAACCAGGCCCAGGCUUAUAAUGAAUAUCUAGGAAGGGAAAAAGAAAAGAGAUCCUGAAAAAAGUGUAGGUUGUUUGGUUUAUUUUCUGGUGCCAGGCAUCAGAAGCAGAAAGAGAAUUUGGUUGCCAUGGCAUUUCCCACCUUCAUAGUCACCUAGGCCUACUCCUGUUGGAACACUCUGUCCCAGUCACUGCUUGCUUUCCCACAGGAAAUGGAGUUCCUAGAGGAAUGCUCUCCUGGGACACCCCUAUUCCUUCUGUAGAAGCAUCCAGGGCCUGAUCUGGACACAAAGCUGAAGUGCAGUAAAAGAAAAAAAGAUUACACACUGUAAAGCAUCAUUGUAACAAAACUGACCAGAAGUUUCAUUCCGCAAAAUGAGGACAAACUGCUCCACAUGGUAGACCUCAGAACAAUAAUGUGGAUUUCAGCCUCCCCUGAGUUUCCUAUUGACAUAGCAAUUGAACAUCCAGAAGCAGCUGAAAUCUACAAGAAACAGCUAACAGUAUGGAAGAAUAAAGCAGAUUACUGCCUCCACAGGUGGGCAGCUCACUGGGACACCCAAA